This 468-nucleotide ribosomal RNA is filed under the name uncultured bacterium. RNAcentral describes it as "partial 16S ribosomal RNA". It matches the Rfam family "Bacterial small subunit ribosomal RNA", at positions 28 to 507 of the family's 1533-position model. The record is from RNAcentral.
GACGAACGCUGGCGGCGUGCUUAACACAUGCAAGUCGAACGGAAAGGCCCUGCUUUUGUGGGGUGCUCGAGUGGCGAACGGGUGAGUAACACGUGAGUAACCUGCCCUUGACUUUGGGAUAACUUCAGGAAACUGGGGCUAAUACCGGAUAGGAGCUCCUGCUGCAUGGUGGGGGUUGGAAAGUUUCGGCGGUUGGGGAUGGACUCGCGGCUUAUCAGCUUGUUGGUGGGGUAGUGGCUUACCAAGGCUUUGACGGGUAGCCGGCCUGAGAGGGUGACCGGCCACAUUGGGACUGAGAUACGGCCCAGACUCCUCCGGGAGGCAGCAGUGGAGAAUAUUGCACAAUGGGCGGAAGCCUGAUGCAGCAACGCCGCGUGCGGGAUGACGGCCUUCGGGUUGUAAACCGCUUUCGCCUGUGACGAAGCGUGAGUGACGGUAAUGGGUAAAGAAGCACCGGCUAACUACGUG